This 349-nucleotide unclassified non-coding RNA is filed under the name soil metagenome. RNAcentral describes it as "partial contains 5.8S ribosomal RNA, internal transcribed spacer 2, and large subunit ribosomal RNA". The stretch from base 1 to 120 matches the Rfam family "5.8S ribosomal RNA", at positions 35 to 154 of the family's 154-position model. The record is from RNAcentral.
GAUGAAGAACGUAGCGAAAUGCGAUAAGUAAUGUGAAUUGCAGAAUUCAGUGAAUCAUCGAAUCUUUGAACGCACAUUGCACCCGCCAGUAUUCUGGCGGGCAUGCCUGUUCGAGCGUCAUUUCAACCCUCAAGCCCAGCUUGGUGUUGGGGAUCGGCACAGGCGCCCUCGGGCGCCCGCCGUCCCCUAAAUCUAGUGGCGGUCCCGCUGCAGCCUCCUCUGCGUAGUAGUUUUCUCCUCGCAAGGGCAGCUCGGUGGCGACCUCGCCGUAAAACCCCCAACUUCUGAAAGGUUGACCUCGAAUCAGGUAGGAAUACCCGCUGAACUUAAGCAUAUCAUAAGCGGAGGA